GACGAACGCUGGCGGCGUGCUUAACACAUGCAAGUCGAACGGAAAGGCCCUUCGGGGUACUCGAGUGGCGAACGGGUGAGUAACACGUGGGUGAUCUGCCCUGCACUUUGGGAUAAGCCUGGGAAACUGGGUCUAAUACCGAAUAGGACCGCGCGCUUCAUGGUGUGUGGGGGAAAGCUUUUGCGGUGUGGGAUGGGCCCGCGGCCUAUCAGCUUGUUGGUGGGGUAAUGGCCUACCAAGGCGACGACGGGUAGCCGGCCUGAGAGGGUGACCGGCCACACUGGGACUGAGAUACGGCCCAGACUCCUACGGGAGGCAGCAGUGGGGAAUAUUGCACAAUGGGCGCAAGCCUGAUGCAGCGACGCCGCGUGCGGGAUGACGGCCUUCGGGUUGUAAACCUCUUUCACCAGGGACGAAGCGCAAGUGACGGUACCUGGAGAAGAAGCACCGGCCAACUACGUG
Molecule: ribosomal RNA, 462 nt
Filed under: uncultured bacterium
Lineage: Bacteria
Description: partial 16S ribosomal RNA
Rfam family: Bacterial small subunit ribosomal RNA
Source: RNAcentral